Molecule: long non-coding RNA, 564 nt
Organism: Papaver somniferum (opium poppy)
Lineage: Eukaryota; Viridiplantae; Streptophyta; Magnoliopsida; Ranunculales; Papaveraceae
Exons: 2
Source: RefSeq, a predicted model, not a curated record
UUACUGCUGUACUUGCAUCCUUUUUGUUUUGUAGAUUGGAGUUCUAGUGAAAUCUUUAAAUUUUGGUUUGAGCAGUUUGGAUAAGUGGUUGUCCCCUAAAUCUGGAAGAAUACCAUUGCUCUUUUUUCCAGCCUCGGGAGAAGUAGCACCAAUCUACAAGUACACUACACUAGUACUGGUUUGUUUGUACCUCCUGUUUAUUCAUCUUCUUAUUAAUUUCAUGUACUCUUUAAGAAGAUAGAAAGAUCCACAUAUUUCUGUUUGGUUUUGUGUUUUUUUUUUGGCAAUUAAUAUCAUGUUCGGAUCUAGGAAAAUGGAUAUGAUAUUUGUUUCGGUACAUUUUAUCAUGUUUGGAUGUUGAUGGUAAAGCUCAUAGCUGUAGCACAUCGAGUUUAGGUGCUGUAACUGCUGUUUAUAUUCGGCCGUCUCGGAUAAACUCUCUUGUUAAUUUCUUAGUUAUUUUUUUGGUAUCAAGGGAGAAUGUAAUUGUGUAGCAUACGGUUGGAAUGUAAUUGUGUAGCAUACUAGUCUCUUGUUAAACUACUAAUGACUAGUAUAGUAGUA